This 449-nucleotide long non-coding RNA is filed under the name Homo sapiens (human). Its description in RNAcentral is "non-protein coding lnc-PDE8A-3:3". Lineage: Eukaryota; Metazoa; Chordata; Mammalia; Primates; Hominidae. The record is from RNAcentral.
UUCGGCAACAGGAUGAGAGGCUGUGGCAGCAGGAGACUCUGCAGGAGCUGGAGAGGCUGCGGGAGCUGGAGAGGAUGCUGGAGCUGGGGUGGGAAGCCCUGUACGAGCAGCGGGCCGAGCCACGCAGCGGCUUCGAGGAGCUGAACAACGAGAACAAGAGCACACUGCAGUUGGAGCAGCAAGUAAAGGAGCUGAAGAAGUCGGGUGGAGCUGAAGAGCCAAGAGGCUCCGAGUCUGCAGCAGCAGCCAGACCAGUAGCUGGAGCCCCAGUCCCACAAGGAGCUUGGAUGUGCGGACAAGCAGGGUGGACUCCCCAGGAGCACCCAGGCUUGGGUGGAGAAGCUGUUGGUACAGGAGAGGCGGCAGGAGGAGCAGGAGAGGCUGCAUGCCAUUCUUUUCGGGCUGCCGAGAACAGGGAGCUAAACAUCACCAUCAUCUAAGAGCGGGUC